UGAGGAAUAUUGCACGAUGGGCGAAAGCCUGAUGCAGCAACGCCGCGUGAGGGACGAAGGCCUUCGGGUCGUAAACCUCUUUUCUGGGGGACGAGUAAGGACGGUACUCCAGGAAUAAGUCUCGGCUAACUACGUGCCAGCAGCCGCGGUAAAACGUAGGAGGCGAGCGUUAUCCGGAUUUACUGGGCGUAAAGCGUACGCAGGUGGCUUCGUUAGUCGGACAUGAAAGCUCCUGGCUUAACUGGGAGGGGUUGUUCGAUACUGCGGGGCUUGAGGUUGGGAGAGGGACGUGGAAUUCCCGGUGUAGUGGUGGAAUGCGUAGAUACCGGGAGGAACACCAGUGGCGCAAGCGGCGUCCUGGCCCACACCUGACGCUGAGGUACGAAAGCGUGGGUAGCAAACAG
This 404-nucleotide ribosomal RNA is filed under the name uncultured bacterium. RNAcentral's name for it is "bacterial SSU rRNA". It matches the Rfam family "Bacterial small subunit ribosomal RNA", at positions 355 to 775 of the family's 1533-position model. The record is from RNAcentral.